AAGAGUACCCUAGAACAAGAAGGAAUACUAGGGCCCUGAAUCUCACGUCUUCUACCCUUACCCUCCUAGGACUGCCUUUAUUCAAGCUUGUCCAGCUGCACCAUUGGAGGUUACUGUGGCAACCAGACCCACAGGCAGCCAGUAAUCAGGAAACAGCUGCCAACAGUAAGUGAUGGUGGAUGAAAAGGCCAAAAACAGAGACCCUCAAAAGCAAGAGAAAUAGACUGUGGUAGAGAAGAGGAGGCCCCAGAGUGCUGACAGGUGCUCAGCUCCAAGCCAGUCCCAGAAGUCACUACCCAGCAGACAGUCAAAUCCUGCACAGACUGCCACACCACCAACCACAGGCAGACAUGAACACAAUGAUUUUACAACUAUGGAUGCACAGUAACACAGGUGGGGCACAUGGUUAGCCCAACAGCAGUGGGUCUGGUAAAAAUGAACAUGGAUAAGGCACCAACUACUAUGUCCAACGAAACAGUGGAUUUCAUGUACUCUUGAGUGAACUCACAACCCUGCAAUCAAGACCCGAGGUGAGAUCAAGAGUCGGAUGGGUAACCAACUGAGCCACCCAGGUGCCCCGAUAGUUUAGUAUUUUAUUUUAUUUUAUUUUAUUUAUUUUUAGGUUUAGUAUUUUAAAGGGUUUUUUCCUCUUUCCAGGAAAAAGGGAAACACCCCAAAUCCCCCAGACUCCUCUGGAAGGCUGCUCUUGGCCCAGACCUCCCAGCUUAUACUCCUCUGCCCUCUGAUACCUUCUGCCUACUGCAGUGAGAGAGAGAGCACAAGUUGGGGAAAAGGGCAGAGAGACAGAAACAAGGAGGCUCCAUGCUCAGGGCAGAGCACAACGCAGGGCUCGAUUCCACAACCCUGGGAUCAAGAGCUGGACAGUCAACUGACUGAGCCACCCAGAUGCCCCACUUCUGUUGCUUCUAAUAGGCUUGUUGCAACAUCCCACUAUCUGCCUCUCACCUUUGACCCAUUUAUACUCUGCUUUGUGCCUGGGUGAGGCUGUUAUCACUGGUUGGUUGUUUUAACACUUGCGUCUCACUUCUACUUACGAAUGUCUGUGACAGUCAAAGAAAUUGCUGAGGAGGGCCCUAACCUCUCCCCCAACCUACCCCCAUCAGGGAGAGAAAAGAUAUAUCAGGAACAGGUGGCAUUUCAAAGUGCAUCAUAAAAAGGAAGUGCCAGUCAGGAGGGAGUUACUCACCAUCUGCUCUGCUCCCUUCACAAAUAUGCCUCCUGGAGCUUCCCUAUUUGACUUAACAUCUACGGAAUAACCAAAGGAAUAGAAGAAUCUACCACCACUAACGUCAAGGAAACAAAACAUUCCAUUUUAAAAUGGAAGCUGUUUCAAAGGGCAAAUUAUCCAGAAGCACAGAC
Molecule: long non-coding RNA, 1380 nt
Filed under: Suricata suricatta (meerkat)
Lineage: Eukaryota; Metazoa; Chordata; Mammalia; Carnivora; Herpestidae
Description: lncRNA (ENSSSUG00005014396.1)
Source: RNAcentral